GGCCCGGGCUUUGUUCCGGGCUUUUUCGUAAACUCACUUCCAGGUGUCUGGAAACGGUUGCAAGUCCGUGAAAAGAGCGAGCACGAA
RNAcentral lists this non-coding RNA (87 nucleotides) under unclassified sequences. The record is from RNAcentral.